GAUCACCAGCUCCAAAAGGAGUCAGUGAAUGUAGUGGGAGGGUCUUCUUCUUGAUGUCGACUUUUUAAGAAAGGGAAGAAGAAUAAGAAGAACAAAAAAAGAGUGCAAAGUACUGGGGCACCCAAAUUUAGUCAGACCAAAAAAUCCAAAUUCGAUCAAAUUCAGGCAGAAUGCUUCUAUUGCAAGAAGAAGAGGCACUGACAGAGGAAUUAUCCUCAGUUCAUUACCUCUUUGGAUCCAAAU
RNAcentral lists this long non-coding RNA (243 nucleotides) under Elaeis guineensis (African oil palm). RNAcentral's name for it is "long non-coding RNA (EGUI_LNC078435)". The record is from RNAcentral. Lineage: Eukaryota; Viridiplantae; Streptophyta; Magnoliopsida; Arecales; Arecaceae.